This is a long non-coding RNA of Camelus dromedarius (Arabian camel), 887 nucleotides long. RefSeq lists it as uncharacterized. NCBI's taxonomy places the organism in Eukaryota, Metazoa, Chordata, Mammalia, Artiodactyla, Camelidae. The transcript is spliced from 2 exons. The record is from RefSeq and is a predicted model, not a curated record.
UCAGCUUCAUUAACCUCCUACUACAACUGGGGCCAGAGUCACUAUCAACACUGGAUUUUCCUUGUAUCUUUUGGUAGCCAGAGAGAGGACUUACCCAUGGCCUGCAGGACCUAGGUGGAUGAAUGGUGACAGAGAACUGUUCUGAAUCCAUCUGAGCUUUUUGACUUAAAGGAAAGCAGAGGUCAGGAAGACCAGUUAUGCAGAGAAGAUUAAGUGGAUAUAUUUUCAAUUAAUAUUUGUAUGUGUAUGUGUGUACGUGAGUAGUGCUGGUUAAAUGUCUGUUUUACUUGUAUUCUUCUUUCCCUUGAAACGUUUAUGAAUCCAUAACAAUUUGGGUCCCUUCCUUUUCCUCUCCCUCUCCCUCUCCCAGGAUUGCAAACUCAUUUGACAGAGGGAAGAGGGCUUAGUAUUUGUAACAGCAACUUCGGAAAUAAAAGGAGAUGCCCUAGUAUCAAAGGUGUUGAACCAAAAAAGCACGCAGGGAAAGGUAAGGUGGCCUAGAGCUGAGCAGCUUCAGGAUGCUGAAACCACUCCUAGUGCGGGAGAGACAAAGGAAAGCGAUGGGGCAUCAAAGCUUGGAACCAAGGCCACCCAAGAAGCUAGAGCCACAGUGGAUCUGCCUAGAGGAAGCCGGAGCCAUGCGCAGAAGCAGCUGCUGCUGGAGGAACCAUUAAGGGAGGAAGAGUAACUUAAUAAUGACCAUACAUUCAAAAUAUCAAUAAAGGUCAUACAUUGAACAUCUAGACCAUCAUUGGUUCUUGCCAAGAAGAAACUCAAGAGUUAUCUCAUUACUGAACCUGGGUUCAACCUUUGUAUGGAAGACUGAAAUCAGAAAGGUAAUCCUUUCAUCUCAUCCCUCAUAAAAUAAAAAGAGUGAAUUUCCUUUU